CCGAAGCGGGGGAUAACAUUUGGAAACAAGUGCUAAUACCGCAUAAUUAGUUGGAACCGCAUGGUUCCAACUUGAAAGAUGGCUCUGCUAUCACUUUGGGAUGGACCCGCGCCGUAUUAGUUAGUUGGUGAGAUAAAAGCCCACCAAGACGAUGAUACGUAGCCGACCUGAGAGGGUAAUCGGCCACAUUGGGACUGAGACACGGCCCAGACUCCUACGGGAGGCAGCAGUAGGGAAUCUUCCACAAUGGACGAAAGUCUGAUGGAGCAACGCCGCGUGAGUGAUGAAGGUUUUCGGAUCGUAAAACUCUGUUGUUAAAGAAGAACAAGUGUUAGAGUAACUGUUAACACUUUGACGGUAUUUAACCAGAAAGCCACGGCUAACUACGUGCCAGCAGCCGCGGUAAUACGUAGGUGGCAAGCGUUGUCCGGAUUUAUUGGGCGUAAAGCGAGCGCAGGCGGUUUUGUAAGUCUGCUGUGAAAGCCCUCAGCUCAACUGAGGAAGUGCAGUGGAAACUACAAAACUUGAGUACAGAAGAGGAAAGUGGAACUCCAUGUGUAGCGGUGAAAUGCGUAGAUAUAUGGAAGAACACCAGUGGCGAAGGCGGCUUUCUGGUCUGUUACUGACGCUGAGGCUCGAAAGCAUGGGUAGCGAACAGGAUUAGAUACCCUGGUAGUCCAUGCCGUAAACGAUGAAUACUAGGUGUUGGAGGGUUUCCGCCCUUCAGUGCCGCAGCUAACGCAUUAAGUAUUCCGCCUGGGGAGUACGACCGCAAGGUUGAAACUCAAAGGAAUUGACGGGGGCCCGCACAAGUGGUGGAGCAUGUGGUUUAAUUCGAUGCUACGCGAAGAACCUUACCAGCUCUUGACAUCUUCUGCCAACCCAAGAGAUUGGGCGUUCCCUUCGGGGACAGAAUGACAGGUGGUGCAUGGUUGUCGUCAGCUCGUGUCGUGAGAUGUUGGGUUAAGUCCCGCAACGAGCGCAACCCUUAUUAUUAGUUGCCAGCAUUUAGUUGGGCACUCUAGUGAGACUGCCGGUGAUAAACCGGAGGAAGGUGGGGACGACGUCAAAUCAUCAUGCCCCUUAUGAGCUGGGCUACACACGUGCUACAAUGGAUGGUACAACGAGUCGCGAAACCGCGAGGUCAAGCUAAUCUCUUAAAGCCAUUCUCAGUUCGGAUUGCAGGCUGCAACUCGCCUGCAUGAAGUUGGAAUCACUAGUAAUCGUGGAUCAGCAUGCCACGGUGAAUACGUUCCCGGGCCUUGUAGCAGCACCGCCCGUCACACCAUGAGAGUUUG
RNAcentral lists this ribosomal RNA (1298 nucleotides) under Apilactobacillus kunkeei. Its description in RNAcentral is "bacterial SSU rRNA". It matches the Rfam family "Bacterial small subunit ribosomal RNA", at positions 131 to 1414 of the family's 1533-position model. Lineage: Bacteria; Bacillati; Bacillota; Bacilli; Lactobacillales; Lactobacillaceae. The record is from RNAcentral.